CAAUAGCGUAUAUUAAAGUUGUUGCAGUUAAAACGCUCGUAGUCGGAUUUCGGGGCGGGCCGACCGGUCUGCCGAUGGGUAUGCACUGGCCGGCGCGUCCUUCCUUCCGGAGACCGUGCCUACUCUUAACUGAGCGGGUUCGGGAGACGGAUCGUUUACUUUGAAAAAUUAGAGUGUUCAAAGCAGGCCUACGCUUGAAUACAUUAGCAUGGAAUAAUGGAAUAGGACUUUGGUGCUAUUUUGUUGGUUUAUGGGACCGAAGUAAUGAUUAACAGGGACAGUUGGGGCCGUUUAUAUUUCGUUGUCAGAGGUGAAAUUCUUGGAUUUACGAAAGAUAAACUUCUGCGAAAGCAUUCGGCAAGGAUGUUUUCAUUGAUCAAGAACGAAAGUUAGGGGAUCGAAGAUGAUCAGAUACCG
This 417-nucleotide ribosomal RNA is filed under the name uncultured eukaryote. RNAcentral describes it as "bacterial SSU rRNA". It matches the Rfam family "Eukaryotic small subunit ribosomal RNA", at positions 592 to 1017 of the family's 1831-position model. The record is from RNAcentral.